GACGAACGCUGGCGGCGUGCUUAACACAUGCAAGUCGAACGGUAAGGCCCUGCUUUUGUUGGGUUCUCGAGUGGCGAACGGGUGAGUAACACGUGAGUAACCUGCCCUUGACUUUGGGAUAACUUCAGGAAACUGGGGCUAAUACCGGAUAGGAGCUCCUGCUGCAUGGGGGGGGUUGGAAAGUUUCGUCGGUUGGGGACGGACGCGCGGCUUAUCAGCUUGUUGGUGGGGUAGUGGCUUACCAAGGCUCUGACGGGUAGCCGGCCUGAGAGGGUGACCGGCCACAUUGGGACUGGGAUACGACCCAGAGUCCUACGGGGGGCAGCGGUGGGGAAUAUUGCACAAUGGGCGGAAGCCUGAUGCAGCAACGCCGCGUGCGGGAUGACGGCCUUCGGGUUGUAACCCGCUUUCGCCUGUGACGAAGCGUGAGUGACGGUAAUGGGUAAAGAAGCACCGGCUAACUACGUG
RNAcentral lists this ribosomal RNA (468 nucleotides) under uncultured bacterium. RNAcentral's name for it is "partial 16S ribosomal RNA". It matches the Rfam family "Bacterial small subunit ribosomal RNA", at positions 28 to 507 of the family's 1533-position model. The record is from RNAcentral.